UCCUCGAUAGCUCAGUUGGUAGAGCAAGUGACUGUUAAUCACUGGGUCGCAGGUUCGAGUCCUGCUCGAGGAGCCA
Molecule: transfer RNA, 76 nt
Filed under: Billgrantia campisalis
Lineage: Bacteria; Pseudomonadati; Pseudomonadota; Gammaproteobacteria; Oceanospirillales; Halomonadaceae
Also listed under: 61 other names
Description: tRNA-Asn
Rfam family: tRNA
About the family: Transfer RNA (tRNA) molecules are approximately 80 nucleotides in length. Their secondary structure includes four short double-helical elements and three loops (D, anti-codon, and T loops).
Source: RNAcentral